Cannabis sativa is the source of this 749-nucleotide long non-coding RNA. RefSeq lists it as uncharacterized. The record is from RefSeq and is a predicted model, not a curated record. The transcript is spliced from 4 exons. Lineage: Eukaryota; Viridiplantae; Streptophyta; Magnoliopsida; Rosales; Cannabaceae.
AAUUAAAUGACUCCUCCAGAUAACAACUCUCUGUGGGAGGACGAUCGAUGAUUUCGGCCACCUCCGCCACCUUCGUUCCUCUUGUGGGCGAUCGACGAUUUCGAACCAGCCUACCGUCUUCUGUGGGUGUGGGCGCACAUCUUAGAUUAACAACAACUCUUCCCACACUCGUCCCUUAGUCGAACGGCGACUCAAUCCAAUCCACCAUGUAUGGUUGAUAAGGUGCCCAAGGACUCUGCCAUAUUUGGAGAAUGUGGUAAUGGAUAAGCAUGGUGAUUGAAUAUGGCAAAGAUAAACACACAUUUGCUUUAAUAUUAGAAAUCAAGCUUACAUUGGGGUCAUUAACAAGAUUAUAACAGCACAUUGCCAUUACCUUGAUGUUGGUGCUGGAAUUGGUUUGUUCUCAUUGAUGGUUGCCAGGGCAAUGGAUUUUGGGGGCCUCAAUGCAAAAGGAGAAGGUAACAACUUGUGAGUCUUACCUUCCAAUGGUAAAGAUAAUGAGAAGAGUUGAGGCUUAAUGGUAUGGAAAAGAAGAUAAAUAUAUUCAACAAACGUUUUGAUGAACUUAAAAUUGGCAAGUGAGAUAUUUGACUCAGAAUUAUUGGAUGAAGGGCUUAUACCUUCUCUACAACAUGCCAUGGAAUGUUAUUAGUGGAAAAUCUAUCAACAAUUCCAUACCAAGCAACUACUUAUGACCAAGUGAUUGAGUCCAUCAUUGUGGUUGUACUUUGUUUCAACACUUCAUCUCU